RNAcentral lists this microRNA (23 nucleotides) under Eptesicus fuscus (big brown bat). RNAcentral's name for it is "efu-miR-9313". Lineage: Eukaryota; Metazoa; Chordata; Mammalia; Chiroptera; Vespertilionidae. The record is from miRBase by way of RNAcentral.
UUUGGGGGUUGAUUGGAACCAGC